AGACAGGGGAGCUUCAUAUAGAGGCUGAGAGUGAGCGUGAGCGUUCUGACCCUAAUACCUGAUGUGGAUAAUGCCAACGUAGGAAACAUGA
This 91-nucleotide non-coding RNA is filed under the name uncultured Bulleidia sp. Lineage: Bacteria; Bacillati; Bacillota; Erysipelotrichia; Erysipelotrichales; Erysipelotrichaceae. The record is from RNAcentral.